UGGUUUUCCAGGCAAAUCCGGAAAAUCAAGGCUGAGGCGUGACGACGAGGCACUACGGUGCUGAAGCAACAAAUGCCCUGCUUCCAGGAAAAGCCUCUAAGCAUCAGGUAACAUCAAAUCGUACCCCAAACCGACACAGGUGGUCAGGUAGAGAAUACCAAGGCGCUUGAGAGAACUCGGGUGAAGGAACUAGGCAAAAUGGUGCCGUAACUUCGGGAGAAGGCACGCUGACACGUAGGUGAAGUGAUUUACUCACGGAGCUGAAGUCAGUCGAAGAUACCAGCUGGCUGCAACUGUUUAUUAAAAACACAGCACUGUGCAAACACGAAAGUGGACGUAUACGGUGUGACGCCUGCCCGGUGCCGGAAGGUUAAUUGAUGGGGUCAGCGCAAGCGAAGCUCCUGAUCGAAGCCCCGGUAAACGGCGGCCGUAACUAUAACGGUCCUAAGGUAGCGAAAUUCCUUGUCGGGUAAGUUCCGACCUGCACGAAUGGCGUAAUGAUGGCCAGGCUGUCUCCACCCGAGACUCAGUGAAAUUGAACUCGCUGUGAAGAUGCAGUGUACCCGCGGCAAGACGGAAAGACCCCGUGAACCUUUACUAUAGCUUGACACUGAACAUUGAGCCUUGAUGUGUAGGAUAGGUGGGAGGCUUUGAAGCGUGGACGCCAGUCUGCGUGGAGCCGACCUUGAAAUACCACCCUUUAAUGUUUGAUGUUCUAACGUGGACCCGUAAUCCGGGUUGCGGACAGUGUCUGGUGGGUAGUUUGACUGGGGCGGUCUCCUCCUAAAGAGUAACGGAGGAGCACGAAGGUUGGCUAAUCCUGGUCGGACAUCAGGAGGUUAGUGCAAUGGCAUAAGCCAGCUUGACUGCGAGCGUGACGGCGCGAGCAGGUGCGAAAGCAGGUCAUAGUGAUCCGGUGGUUCUGAAUGGAAGGGCCAUCGCUCAACGGAUAAAAGGUACUCCGGGGAUAACAGGCUGAUACCGCCCAAGAGUUCAUAUCGACGGCGGUGUUUGGCACCUCGAUGUCGGCUCAUCACAUCCUGGGGCUGAAGUAGGUCCCAAGGGUAUGGCUGUUCGCCAUUUAAAGUGGUACGCGAGCUGGGUUUAGAACGUCGUGAGACAGUUCGGUCCCUAUCUGCCGUGGGCGCUGGAGAACUGAGGGGGGCUGCUCCUAGUACGAGAGGACCGGAGUGGACGCAUCACUGGUGUUCGGGUUGUCAUGCCAAUGGCACUGCCCGGUAGCUAAAUGCGGAAGAGAUAAGUGCUGAAAGCAUCUAAGCACGAAACUUGCCCCGAGAUGAGUUCUCCCUGAGACUUAGAGUCUCCUGAAGGAACGUUGAAGACGACGACGUUGAUAGGCCGGGUGUGUAAGCGCAGCGAUGCGUUGAGCUAACCG
RNAcentral lists this ribosomal RNA (1396 nucleotides) under Salmonella enterica subsp. enterica serovar Bareilly. RNAcentral's name for it is "partial 23S ribosomal RNA". It matches the Rfam family "Bacterial large subunit ribosomal RNA", at positions 1525 to 2897 of the family's 2925-position model. The record is from RNAcentral. Lineage: Bacteria; Pseudomonadati; Pseudomonadota; Gammaproteobacteria; Enterobacterales; Enterobacteriaceae.